GAGGCCUUCAUCAUUGGGUGGGAUGUCUAUCGUCAGAAGGUAGUGGCGCAUUUUUUGAAGAUGGAUCUAAGCUUCUUGGAUGAAAAAGGAGCCAAAGGAGAAGAAGGAAGAGCCAAAGGAAAGGAGGAACCACAGGAAGUGAGGCUCCUCCAUCUGCUGAGGCUGCUGAAGGAUGCUCCGUAGCUAUUCCAAUAUUGGAGGUUGUGCUGGCAUCCGUUCUUGACGAAGCUGUGCCAACUUUAUUGCCAUCGAUGGAGUUGAAGUAGCCAGCUGCAGACAUCCCAAGUUUGUCCAUCGAUGCUCACACCAAGGUCGGAGAUUUCUAAAUUUGUACUUUUUUUGUUUUUCUAUCAUUGUAAUGAAAGUUUCCUGUUAAUGAAAAAAAGUAAUUUUUACCUUUGUGUUAUUUGGCUUGCACUUGUUUGU
RNAcentral lists this long non-coding RNA (426 nucleotides) under Elaeis guineensis (African oil palm). RNAcentral's name for it is "long non-coding RNA (EGUI_LNC051256)". The record is from RNAcentral. Lineage: Eukaryota; Viridiplantae; Streptophyta; Magnoliopsida; Arecales; Arecaceae.